This 493-nucleotide ribosomal RNA is filed under the name uncultured bacterium. Its description in RNAcentral is "partial 16S ribosomal RNA". It matches the Rfam family "Bacterial small subunit ribosomal RNA", at positions 29 to 523 of the family's 1533-position model. The record is from RNAcentral.
AUUGAACGCUGGCGGCAUGCUUUACACAUGCAAGUCGAACGGUAACAGGUUAAGCUGACGAGUGGCGAACGGGUGAGUAAUGCAUCGGAACGUGCCCGGUCGUGGGGGAUAACGCAGCGAAAGCUGCGCUAAUACCGCAUACGAUCUAAGGAUGAAAGCGGGGGACCGUAAGGCCUCGCGCGAUCGGAGCGGCCGAUGUCGGAUUAGGUAGUUGGUGGGGUAAAGGCUCACCAAGCCAACGAUCUGUAGCUGGUCUGAGAGGACGACCAGCCACACUGGGACUGAGACACGGCCCAGACUCCUACGGGAGGCAGCAGUGGGGAAUUUUGGACAAUGGGCGAAAGCCUGAUCCAGCAAUGCCGCGUGCAGGAAGAAGGCCUUCGGGUUGUAAACUGCUUUUGUACGGGGCGAAAAGGUCUCCUCUAAUACAGGGGGCUCAUGACGGUACCGUAAGAAUAAGCACCGGCUAACUACGUGCCAGCAGCCGCCGUAA